GACGAACGCUGGCGGCGUGCCUAAUACAUGCAAGUAGGACGCAGUCGCGAACGGGUGAGUAACGUGUAGGUACCUGCCUAUUAGAGGGGGCUUACUAUUGGAAACGAUAGCUAAUACCGCCUACUAGUAGAUGGACCUGCGUUGUAUUAGCUAGUAGGUCGGGUAAUGGCCUACCUAGGCAACGAUACAGAGACGAAGUGAGAGUGUGAUCGUCGACACUGGGACUGAGAAAGGGCCCAGACUCAAACGGGAGGCAGCGGUAGGGAAGCGUAGGAAAUGGGAGGAAGCGUUACCGAGCAACGCCGAGUUAGUGAGAAAGGUGUUCGGAUCGUAAAGCUCUGUUGUUAAUGAAGCGGUACUUAACCAGAAAGGGACGGCUAACUACGUGCCAGCCGCCGCGGUAAUUC
RNAcentral lists this ribosomal RNA (407 nucleotides) under uncultured bacterium. Its description in RNAcentral is "partial 16S ribosomal RNA". It matches the Rfam family "Bacterial small subunit ribosomal RNA", at positions 28 to 526 of the family's 1533-position model. The record is from RNAcentral.